GUUGAGGCCUAUCCCGACAGACCUUUUACUGUAGGGUCAUGUCGUUGGAAAUGCCUCAGACAGUAAAUCUGUAGUUUCGCUUUACCCACACGUUCACUGCCAUGAGCCUUGUGGGAUAUAACUGCAGAACACAU
This 134-nucleotide small nucleolar RNA is filed under the name Sparus aurata (gilthead seabream). The record is from RNAcentral. Lineage: Eukaryota; Metazoa; Chordata; Actinopteri; Spariformes; Sparidae.